UACGUAGGGGGCUAGCGUUGUCCGGAAUCAUUGGGCGUAAAGAGCGUGUAGGCGGCCCGGUAAGUCCGCUGUAAAAGUCAAAGGCUCAACCUUUGAAUGUCAGUGGAUACUGCCGGGCUAGAGUCCGGAAGAGGCGAGUGGAACUCCUGGUGUAGCGGUGGAAUGCGCAGAUAUCAGGAAGAACACCAACGGCGAAGGCAGCUCGCUGGGACGGUACUGACGCUGAGACGCGAAAAGCGUGGGGAGCGAACAGG
RNAcentral lists this ribosomal RNA (254 nucleotides) under uncultured bacterium. Its description in RNAcentral is "partial 16S ribosomal RNA". It matches the Rfam family "Bacterial small subunit ribosomal RNA", at positions 524 to 776 of the family's 1533-position model. The record is from RNAcentral.